UGGCAAGCAGGUUAAUAUUCCUGCACCGGCACGGAUGGUUUCCACAGGAGGGACGGAGAAGGGUAGGUCAGCCCCAGAUUGGAUUGUGGGGUUCAAACCUGUAGGAGGCUCUGCUAGGACCCAAUAGGGACAAACGGCAGGGCAUUAACUCCGAGAGGCAACGAGGAGAGCGCUUUGCGCUCACGAACUGACUAAUCCCACGCUUCCAAGAAAAUCUCCGGUGGAGUUAACCGCUGUGCUGUCCGUACCGUAAACCAACUCAGGUGGGCGGGAAGAAUAUUCCAAGGCGCUUGAGAGAACCCAUCCUAAGGAACUCGGCAAAAUUCUACCGUAACUUCGGGAGAAGGUAGGCCGGCGACCGUCAGAAGCUUCGCGCUUCGAAGCGGUUGUUGGUUGCAGAGAAUCGGGGGUAGCGACUGUUUACCAAAAACACAGGACUCUGCGAACGCGGAAGCGGACGUAUAGGGUCUGAUGCCUGCCCGGUGCUGGAAGGUUAAGGGGAGAUGUCAGUCGCAAGACGAAGCAUCGAACCGAAGCCCCAGUAAACGGCGGCCGUAACAAUAACGGUCCUAAGGUAGCGAAAUUCCUUGUCGGGUAAGUUCCGACCUGCACGAAUGGCAUAACGACUUCCCCACUGUCUCGGGAUGGGACUCAGUGAAGUAGCACUAGGGGUGAAGAUACCCUUUACCUGCGGCAAGACGGAAAGACCCCAUGAACCUUCACUGUAACUUGGCACUGAACUUCGGGCUUAAUUGCGUAGGAUAGGUGGGAGGCUUUGAACCGGGGAUUUUGGUUUCCGGGGAGCCACCGUUGAAAUACCACCCUGUUCAGUCUGGAGUUCUAACCUACGCCCGUUAACCGGGCGGGGAACAAUGCCUGGUGGGCAGUUUGACUGGGGCGGUCGCCUCCAAAAAAGUAACGGAGGCGCGCGAAGGUUCCCUCAGGCUGAUUGGAAACCAGCUGUUGAGUGUAAUGGCACAAGGGAGCUUAACUGCGAGACAAACAAGUCGAGCAGGUACGAAAGUAGGUCAUAGUGAUCCGGUGGUACCUCAUGGAAGGGCCAUCGCUCAUCGGAUAAAAGGUACUCUGGGGAUAACAGGCUGAUCACGCCCAAGAGUUCACAUCGACGGCGUGGUUUGGCACCUCGAUGUCGGCUCAUCGCAUCCUGGGGCUGAAGUAGGUCCCAAGGGUUUGGCUGUUCGCCAAUUAAAGCGGUACGCGAGCUGGGUUCAGAACGUCGUGAGACAGUUCGGUCCCUAUCUGCCGUGGGCGCAGGAGUUUUGCGAGGACCUGCCCGUAGUACGAGAGGACCCGGGUGGACGGACCGCUGGUGUUCCGGUUGUCAUGCCAAUGGCAUCGCCGGGUAGCUAUGUCCGGAACAGAUAACCGCUGAAAGCAUCUAAGCGGGAAGCUGACCUCCAGAUUAGAACUCCCAGAGCGCAAGCUCUCUGAAGGACCCUUGUAGACUACGAGGUUGAUAGGCCGGGUGUGGAAGCGCUGUGAGGCGCGCAGCUAACCGGUACUAAUCGUCCGUGGGGCUUGACCGC
RNAcentral lists this ribosomal RNA (1547 nucleotides) under metagenome. RNAcentral describes it as "bacterial LSU rRNA". It matches the Rfam family "Bacterial large subunit ribosomal RNA", at positions 1419 to 2925 of the family's 2925-position model. The record is from RNAcentral.